RNAcentral lists this long non-coding RNA (263 nucleotides) under Mus caroli (Ryukyu mouse). RNAcentral describes it as "lncRNA (MGP_CAROLIEiJ_G0003478.1)". Lineage: Eukaryota; Metazoa; Chordata; Mammalia; Rodentia; Muridae. The record is from RNAcentral.
UUUGUCUCCAGGAUAGGGACGCAACCUCCAGCAGCCUCGCGUGGCCCCAGAGUUCCGGCAAGGGUCGCGCAGGCAUAAAGGCUGUUGGAUACCCCUGGAACUGCGUUUAGAAACAGAUGUGAUCUAUGUGUCGGAGAGGAAGCCAAGUCCUGGUGCUCUGGAACCUAAAACUGAAUGUCCCUUCCACUCAGGAAUUUCUCUCUCAGACAUCAUCUGACCUGUGUGCAAAGGUGAGCAUGAGUGACUCCAUACCUCUCAGCUAG